This is a non-coding RNA of Pelobates cultripes (western spadefoot toad), 433 nucleotides long. NCBI's taxonomy places the organism in Eukaryota, Metazoa, Chordata, Amphibia, Anura, Pelobatidae. The record is from the annotation of a GenBank genome assembly.
CCUCGGCGAGGGAAUAAUCUAAAUUUUAUUAAAGACAGGAGGCGAAUAUUUGCUUUACCUUCUUUACUGAAACCUCCAGCAGCAAAGAAACAGUUAACAGAACUUUUCAAAACAACCAAUCAGAACAAAGCAACAGUAGUAUAAAACCCCUAAGCAGGCUCUUCCACUUCCUCUUUCUUUGAUGAGGUCGAGCAGGAGAGCAAGGAAACCAACGAAUCCACCUUGUAGCAGACACAUCCGGAGAAACAAUCGUCAAGCCCAGAGAGAGAACAGAUUACACUGCAAGAAAGCAGAAAACAUUGUGAAAGUAAACUGUCAAGGCAAGAUGUCAUAUCCAUACAAUAUCACUUUCACAUCAGAAUACCUGAUGAAUAAACAAAGUCUACAGAUCUUAUGAAGACCUAGUAUGUACCUAAGCUAAAAAGGCAUUGAC